RNAcentral lists this non-coding RNA (95 nucleotides) under Halalkalibacter wakoensis JCM 9140. Its description in RNAcentral is "Bacillus wakoensis JCM 9140 Bacterial small subunit ribosomal RNA". It matches the Rfam family "Bacterial small subunit ribosomal RNA", at positions 1 to 92 of the family's 1533-position model. Lineage: Bacteria; Bacillati; Bacillota; Bacilli; Caryophanales; Bacillaceae. The record is from Rfam by way of RNAcentral.
UUUAUGGAGAGUUUGAUCCUGGCUCAGGACGAACGCUGGCGGCGUGCCUAAUACAUGCAAGUCGAGCGGACUGAUUAAGAGCUUGCUCUUAUGAC